UGCAUUUUAUCAGAUCCCAUGACAGUUAAACAUCUUAUUUCUGGCACACAUCUUCAUGACUUCGUGUUACAGGGAAGGUUACUGAAAGUUGAAAACUCCCUUUGAAUCUUCACAGUGAUUUUGCAGCUUUCAGCUUUCUGAAAAAGUCCCCAGGGCUGAAUUCAAGUUGGAAUAGAAGGCACAUCUCCCACACCCCAGCACAAUUCUUUGCCCUGCUCUAACUGCUCUUGUCCUCUUAGUCUUCUUUAAUAAUUCAUCCAGAACUGCCUCUGCAAAAUCACUGUGAAGAUUCAAAGGGAGUUUUCAGCAUCAGACCCCAGUAAGCUCAGUCACAAACCUGCUUUUAAAUGCUACUCAUCAAAACAAGUAAAAAGAAACACUACAUUUGAUACAGGAGCAGAGAUGACUCUGAAUGAAAUAGAUUCUGAGCUUUCCCAGAACUCAGAAGCAUUUAGGAAGGAAAAAUCAGCCUGCACUAUUUCUAAACAGGAAGCAAGAGCCUGGAUGAGGACAUGAGUGUGGGAUGCCCGACAGUAUUUCCACUCUUAGCAGGAAGCAAAGGACAGUAAUGAGGGUGCCCAGCUCUGUGGAGUCUGUUCAGCAGCACAGAACAAGCUCAGAGAAACGCCUAAGGAAAUCAGGUACUUGGCUAAUGUGAACUCUCUUGCAGCACCUAAUGAUGCAUAAAGACAGAAAGUGACGGCAAAGGAAAUGCCAAAAACUGGCUUGAAGGCUUUGCAACACCAGCCAGGUAGCAUUAAAGACACAUCAGUCUGGCUCUGUGACCUGUCAUUCCAUAUUCACAGGCUACCUUCAACCCCACCAGUCACAGCUAUUGACAGAGGAGUGGCCUUCAAGAAUUUUGGACUGGUAUUACCAGCUUUUAGAAAGGACAUGAAUGAAAAGAUGGUUUAAAACAAUAAACAGGCAAGCAUUCAACAUGAAGAUUGAAUAAGCCAAAGCACUGACUCAAAUUUCAUUCAAGUCAAGAAGAGACUUCCUGUUACAGACCAGGAUUUUGGCUGACAAAAAUUUUCCUUAAUAAUUCACUUCCUUGCUAUGGACUUCUUGCACCUAGGAAGUAUGCUCCGGCUAGCUUGAGGAAGAUUGCUACAAUAAAAACCAGACAAUUAACUUGUGAACUAGGACAGAAGAAUGGUCACUUUCUACCACUCAUUCUGGCCAGCAUGCAAAUCCAUGUACCUCAUAAAUUCAUCCCCCAUAUAUCAGUUAGCAUCUUUUUCCUCUGAAAGGAAGCCCUCAGCAGUGUGCCAGAGACUAAUUUGGCUCCCUUCUCACAGAUAUUAAUUAAACCCUCAUUCAAAUGAGGACUGGAAGACGAGCCCUUUCCCCUCGUAAUGUUUUAAAAUGCAAUUAAGAGUAAAUGGUACAACUGAAAGAUGCCUAGACAAAUAUUGAUGGGUUCCAGAAGCAGAACCAUUUGCCACAAACAACAUUCAUUCAGAACACAAGGUGAUGGUACCAGGACAAGCCAAGAAAGAAUGGGGCUUAAUUAAAUUUCAUUAAAGGAACAUAAAAUCUUGGCAGCACUCUGUAACAGCUCUGUCUCAAACACUGCUUGAUCGAAUCCCUCGGACUGUGGUAUAACAGUCCCUUCCAUGCCACUUAGACUCCAGGUAUUUCAAUAGUACUGGAAGCCUGAGGCUGCAGAGAGCAGCUCCUGUCACCAGAAGGGCUUUAACCCAGUCACACCCCUCCUGACACUUGAGGGGAAAAAGAGGGUGUGUAGUUCUCAAUAAAUUGGGAAAAACAUGUAUUAUCACAGCAGCUUCACUUUCCUACUACUUAGAAAAUACAUAUAUAGGCUGGAGGGGGCGGGGGGGAGAUAAAGACUAGUGACAACUGCACACAAGACACAAAUAUUAUCUGGAUAGGACAAGACCAGAAUUUGAGAAGACCAGAAGCUUGCCUGCAAGUUAAAACUUGCUAUUAUUAGUCCAAUUCCCCUUUCCCAUUCCCUUUGGUUCCUCUGUGAAAAACAGAGCUGGUGAAAGCUCAUUCUUCAGAGUGAGAUUCCUUCAGUAGAAGGAAUACUAAUAAUUUUAUAUGCAUUUGGAGAGAUUCCUGGAAGCAACCAAGGAGUUAAGAUAAGCUACUUAGGUCCACCUGCCUGUUUAAGCUUGAAACAACCCUAAGCCACAUGCUGCUUGACCUGUCUAUUCUCAAAAUCCUGGUGCCAGCCUCCCAACAGCUCCUUACCCUCCACACUUGCAAUGCUCUCUUUGGUGAUUGCAAACCAGAGUUUGGUAACCAUCUUCUAAACCAGCAGAUAAGCACUGUAAAAAAGAAGAGACUGACCAGCAUACACAUCUUUUUUAAAAAAAUCCUCUAUUCUUCCCCUCUGGUGCUAAGCAGGCACACAGUAAAACAAACAAAACACCAAUCUGAAAAUAGAUUUUCUGUCUAGGUGGUUUUAAGUAAGACUGAAUGACAAAAAAGCCUGAACUCUUGGCACAGAGAAAGACUGUUCAAAGUGAACACCCCUAGAGAAGGAAAUGCCAGAGUUAAAGGAGGAAUGGACAAAGCAGAUAAAGCUGUCAGUUCUGGCAGAGGGGAGAGGCUAAGAAGUUCCUAAACUCUAGAGCAAAGCCCAGGAUGGAAAGAAUCAGAGUCAAAGCCAGGUUGUUCAGAAUUUGCAUGCACUUUAUAAAAGGCCUGACAAAGUUACUUUAACUGAAAAAAAAUCGGAAGGCUUGAAUUUAUUCAGGAAUGAACCUUAUUGCUUUUGUGCUCAUUCAGUAAGAGUUCAAAAGGCCAAAAUUCAACUUUGAUACUUUAAAAAACCAUUAACUCCUUAAAUCACUGGGCAUCCUGAGCAACACAGAUACACUGAAGUGUCUGCUGGAUGUGACAGAAUGAACACCUUUCUGACCUGCAGAAGCAAACCAAAACAACAGCUUGAAGUAGAUUUGUUUUGAACUACAUAACGUUCUACGUGUAUCUAAAAAAAAUCCAACUGAUAACACCCAAACCUUUCUGUGGCACAGCAAUUGUCACUUCAAAGGAUUUUUCACACUCCUGACCACGUCUGGUUCCCUUCAGAGGCUGCUCUGAAUACAAAACAGAUACACUGUGAAAGAAAAGCUACUUUACACCAUAAUGUUACCCUUAUUUGUUGACAUCUAGAUCUACUAUUUAUUUUCUUUUAGUUUAGCAUAACUUGAUGCAUACAACCAUAGAGACCUGAUGCAGUUUAUUCAGCUCUUGUACUGCAGUUUUUUCCCCAUCAGCUGAGCUAACUGAUUUCAGUGGAUAUCUACAACACUGCCCUAUUUUAUAUGGGCCUACCAUGACAUUUUGAAAGGACCCAAGUAACUUUGAACAAAGCACCACAAAGAAUUCACAGAUCUCACUGAUGGAAAUACUUUUUAUUAGAAAGAGUAACAAAGUGCUUCCCAUAGGAUUCAUUCAAUACAGAGUUUUUAAGAAGUGAGAUUUUUCCUUUAUAUAUGGACAGUUUUGAUGUGAUGAUGUUUCAGCGCAAACAGGGUUCUCCAAGAUUCUCCUGCAGAGCUCCUCUGUACACACUAUUGCAACCAUUUAUGCAUCUGGCAGUCGUGAAGCAGCACUGAAGAGUCCAUCCCUUAAAAAAUUAAGGUUAUGUAAAGUGCUUGCAAUGUCACACUGACCAACAGGAAUUAUAUUGUUUGUUGUUGUUAAACACAGAUUUAAGGGACAUAAUUCUUUCAUACAGUCCUACACACAGGUGCAUAAAGGUGCUUUUAGCUCUAUCAAUAAUAAUAUUAACAGCAUAAAUAACAUUAUCAAUUUUUACUAUAUAGACAACAGUGAAAUUGCCCUUUUUUUUUCUUUUUAAAAAUUAACCUCUUGCCUUUUUAGCUAGGGACAUCUUUUGAACAUUUGUUGCUUCCUUUGCCUUCCUACUAUGUCUGGAUGGAAUAAAAAACACAAGCAAGGACUGUUCACCUAUUUCCCCCCCACUUCUGGCACACAUUUAUGAUCAGAUUUCUUUGGACACAUAUAUGCAUCAUUUCACCCCAUUCCACUUUCCACUCUUUAUGUCUGAUUCUAUUCCAGUUCCCCUUUUUCCUUAGCUCCUCCUGCCUUCCCUGCAAAUGAGAAGGAGAUAGUACAGCAAUAGCACAAAACUAGGACAGACAUUUCAGUACAAAUUGUUAUAUACAAGGGAAUGUAUGAAACCAAACAGGAAAGGAGAACUGACCAUGCAAUGCAUUCUUCUUUUUCCAUUUUCAGCCCACCUUACACCACUAGCACUGUUUUUUCAGGUUAAAACUAUGAAACUACUAAAAAGGACAAUUAGUUACCCUUAAGAGAAACCACCUAAGGCAUUCACUAAACCCACUAUCAGCCCCAAAGCUACCCUACCUUUCCCCAGAGUACAUGUACAGACAUGAACAUCGAACAAACAACUGAACUGAAUUCACAAGUGCAACAGUCACAGUUCUGCUCAUGAUGAAAGGUCACAUGUACAUAAACGAGGUCCUCACUGAAGAUCUUGGUCACACCCUUGGCUCACUGUUCCCCCUUCCUUAUGUACAGAGCACAGUCACCACUUCAAGGAAAUACCACAUGCUAUCUCACAGCACAGCACCUUUACACAACAGAACUACUGCAACAAGGGUAUCACAGAAACACUUCUUCCUAUGGGAUGAAGGGAAUUAAAUGAGAUCCUCGGUACAGUAACUGGAUUGUGGGAAGUAAGAAAGGAUUUUUUU
Non-coding RNA from Taeniopygia guttata (zebra finch), 4718 nucleotides. NCBI's taxonomy places the organism in Eukaryota, Metazoa, Chordata, Aves, Passeriformes, Estrildidae. The record is from RefSeq and is a predicted model, not a curated record.